GCGCCGGUAGUGUAACGGCGUAAAGCAUUCCCGCCCGGUCAGAGGGAGGUGCGGGUUCGAGUCUCGCCUGGCGCU
Heligmosomoides polygyrus is the source of this 75-nucleotide non-coding RNA. NCBI's taxonomy places the organism in Eukaryota, Metazoa, Nematoda, Chromadorea, Rhabditida, Heligmosomidae. The record is from Rfam.